This 329-nucleotide ribosomal RNA is filed under the name uncultured eukaryote. RNAcentral's name for it is "partial 18S ribosomal RNA". It matches the Rfam family "Eukaryotic small subunit ribosomal RNA", at positions 1470 to 1796 of the family's 1831-position model. The record is from RNAcentral.
CCCUUAGAUGUCCUGGGCCGCACGCGCGCUACACUGAGUGUCUGAGAUACGAGUCUGCCUGGUCCGGCAAGGUCUAGGUAAUCGCUAAAAGACACAUCAUGCUUGGGAUAGAUUAUUGCAAAUAUUAAUCUUGAACGAGGAAUUCCUAGUAAGCGCAAGUCAACAGCUUGCGUUGAUUACGUCCCUGCCCUUUGUACACACCGCCCGUCGCUACUACUGAUUGGAUGUUUAAGCGAGGUUCUCGAACUGCUAGCGACUUAGCUUCGGUGAGGUCGCAGUGUGGGAAGUGAACCUAGCUUUGGUGUCUAGAGGAAGUAAAAGUCAUAACA